UACGGAGGUGGCUAGCGUUGUUCGGAUUCACUGGGCGUACAGGGUGUGUAGGCGGUUUGGUAAGCCUUCUGUUAAAUCUUCGGGCCCAACCCGGAAAGCGCAGAGGGUACUGCCAGGCUAGAGGACGGGAGAGGAGCGCGGAAUUCCCGGUGUAGCGGUGAAAUGCGUAGAGAUCGGGAGGAAGGCCGGUGGCGAAGGCGGCGCUCUGGAACGUUACUGACGCUGAGACACGAAAGCGUGGGGAGCAAAC
RNAcentral lists this ribosomal RNA (250 nucleotides) under uncultured bacterium. Its description in RNAcentral is "partial 16S ribosomal RNA". It matches the Rfam family "Bacterial small subunit ribosomal RNA", at positions 524 to 773 of the family's 1533-position model. The record is from RNAcentral.